Molecule: long non-coding RNA, 734 nt
Filed under: Panax ginseng (ginseng)
Lineage: Eukaryota; Viridiplantae; Streptophyta; Magnoliopsida; Apiales; Araliaceae
Description: long non-coding RNA (PGIN_LNC012798)
Source: RNAcentral
GGCUAUAGCUCAAAUAAUCUUUCUCCUUUUACAAAGUCAGAUAUAAAAAAAUAAAAAUAAAUUAUAUCUGAUUGAAUGAGGUCGAGUUUGCAUUUGAAAGCUUGUGUUAGUGUUACCCUGAGGAGGCUUUGCACAGUGAUUCGAAAAAUCAAAUUAAAUAUAUAAUUUAUAUAGGAGUGAAGUUCAUAUAUAUAUAUAUAUAUAUAUACACAUAUAUAUAUACACACACUUAAAGAAGAAGCAUUUGAUCCCUCUAGCAUUUUGUUUUUGAUGAUUGUGCAGUGAGAUUCAUAUGGUUUGGAUAAGGAUAAAAUGUGCCAUAUGCUCUAGGUGUACAUAUUCCCUUGUCUAAAGAACCAGCUUCUCUCUAGGCAAUAUGCUGCAGUGGAUGUGAUAACAUUCUGAUCAGGCUCACAUUUUAUUAUUUAAUUUAAGUUUUAGGAGUUCAUCAAAUAAUCUUAAAUAAUUAGAUUGAGAUUUGUUCAAAGUUACUUAAAAUGAGGCUCAAUUUAAGUGAACCACGUGUGUUGUACCAAUUGUCGAUUACCGCAUCAAUUGUCGAUUAUACCAAGGUUUUUACUUACAUAUAAUUAUUGGGUCAAUGUGUUGUUGAUGUCCAUUCAACGCAACUGCAUUGUACUAUCGAUUGUACCAAGGUUCUCGUUUCAAUAUAGACGUUGGGUUGGGGCAUCAAGCGUGUUCUACUGAAUAACUUUGCUAGAAACGAUCCGGAC